AGCGAACGCUGGCGGCAGGCUUAACACAUGCAAGUCGAGCGGGCAUCCUUGUGGUGUCAGCGGCAGACGGGUGAGUAACGCGUGGGAACGUGCCCUUCGGUUCGGAAUAACUCAGGGAAACUUGAGCUAAUACCGGAUACGUGCGAGAGCAGAAAGGUUUAUCUGCCGAAGGAUCGGCCCGCGUCUGAUUAGCUAGUUGGUGAGGUUAUGGCUCACCAAGGCGACGAUCAGUAGCUGGUCUGAGAGGAUGAUCAGCCACACUGGGACUGAGACACGGCCCAGACUCCUACGGGAGGCAGCAGUGGGGAAUAUUGGACAAUGGGGGCAACCCUGAUCCAGCCAGGCCGCGUGAGUGAUGACGGCCUUAGGGUUGUAAAGCUCUUUUCUCCGGGACGAUAAUGACGGUACCGGAGGAAUAAGCCCCGGCUAACUUCGUG
This 437-nucleotide ribosomal RNA is filed under the name uncultured bacterium. RNAcentral's name for it is "partial 16S ribosomal RNA". It matches the Rfam family "Bacterial small subunit ribosomal RNA", at positions 29 to 507 of the family's 1533-position model. The record is from RNAcentral.